AUAUGCCAAAAUACCUCACUUUGUCAUCUAAUGUUUAUUUGUUGGUAGAAUUUAGAAUCGAUACAAAUAAAAAGUAUUAUAAUUAAGAAAAUUGAUUAAUACAAUCUAUAACAUAGCAAAUUAACACACAAACAGACUAACAUUGAUGCCACUAAAAUACAAAAUAAAGUAGUGCAAGCCACCAACAUACAUUAGUAUUAUAUUUAUUCAAAUACAUUUUGUUUCACAUUUACAUCACAUUUUUCUUUUUAAACGCUUAAGAAUCUAUAAUAACCAAAAAGUGCUAAAAAGUAUUUGAAAUUAUCU
This 306-nucleotide long non-coding RNA is filed under the name Ananas comosus (pineapple). Its description in RNAcentral is "long non-coding RNA (ACOM_LNC022419)". Lineage: Eukaryota; Viridiplantae; Streptophyta; Magnoliopsida; Poales; Bromeliaceae. The record is from RNAcentral.